UACGAAGGGGGCUAGCGUUGCUCGGAAUCACUGGGCGUAAAGGGCGCGUAGGCGGCGUUUUAAGUCGGGGGUGAAAGCCUGUGGCUCAACCACAGAAUGGCCUUCGAUACUGGGACGCUUGAGUAUGGUAGAGGUUGGUGGAACUGCGGGUGUAGAGGUGAAAUUCGUAGAUAUUCGCAAGAACACCGGUGGCGAAGGCGGCCAACUGGACCAUUACUGACGCUGAGGCGCGAAAGCGUGGGGAGCAAACAGG
This 253-nucleotide ribosomal RNA is filed under the name uncultured bacterium. RNAcentral's name for it is "partial 16S ribosomal RNA". It matches the Rfam family "Bacterial small subunit ribosomal RNA", at positions 524 to 776 of the family's 1533-position model. The record is from RNAcentral.